UGUGAGGUGGUCGAUUAAGUCGGUAGAUUGUAAAUCUAUGAAUAAGUAAUUAAGCUUUCUCAUAA
Molecule: transfer RNA, 65 nt
Filed under: Rossia sp. GS-2021
Lineage: Eukaryota; Metazoa; Mollusca; Cephalopoda; Sepiida; Sepiolidae
Description: tRNA-Tyr
Source: RNAcentral